GGCAAUGUCCUCUGGUUUGCGGAGAGAAAGGAACAUGAUGUGGCCCAGUGCUCUUUCACCAACUUGUGUCCUUCAGGGGAGGAGAAGCCCUCCUGUUUUGCAUGCAAAUUGCUUUUGAUGUCAGUUGCAGAACUUCUGUUGGCUACCUUCUAGAACUUGAAGAGAGCUUAUGGGCAGGAGGAGCACCAACUUUUUACAAGGCCUAAUAGUGAUAGGACAAGGGAGAGUGAUUUCAAACUAAAAGGGGAGAUAGAUGUUAGGAGGAAAUUCUCCACUGAGAGGGCGGUGAGGCGCUGGCACGGCUGCCGAGAGAAGCUGCGGUGCCCCAUCCCUGGAGGCGCUCAAGGCCAGGUUCGUGCUCUUGCUGGUCCCGUGCACAGCUGAACUCCCGAAGCUGUGCGUACUCAUCGCUCCUCCCAUCCCGCAGCGGUACGGCUGGAGGACAGGUGAGUGCGGCUCCAUCCGAACGACGAGCGUGCAGACGGGUCGCUCCCCAGAGCGGGUGGGAAGGGACGUGGGAUUCACACGAAGGCCGGUUUAGCCAAAAGGUGGCACUGCGGCUGCACGGAUUCGCAGCCGAUCGGCGGUCCCGCAGUAGAUGAGCCUUUCGGUCCGUGUAUCCGAA
Molecule: long non-coding RNA, 625 nt
Filed under: Gallus gallus (chicken)
Lineage: Eukaryota; Metazoa; Chordata; Aves; Galliformes; Phasianidae
Source: RNAcentral